This is a long non-coding RNA of Caretta caretta (loggerhead turtle), 7968 nucleotides long. RefSeq lists it as uncharacterized. The record is from RefSeq and is a predicted model, not a curated record. NCBI's taxonomy places the organism in Eukaryota, Metazoa, Chordata, Testudines, Cheloniidae.
ACUGGGCUGAGCUGGAUUCAGACCAGUGAAUGGCUCUGCAGCUGGUUAGCAAUGUGCUAAAACAUCCAGUCCCCUAAUUAGUGCUAAUUGAUGAGAAGGUCCACGUGUAUAUUACAUCUCAAAGUAACUGUUAGAAAAAUGUUAAACGCAAAAGUUAGGAACCGGCAGAAUUCUCCAUCUGCGAGGACACUGGAAUAAAUGUGGCUCUAGACACGGUGUGAAACGGUGAAUGUAGCAGUUCAGGUUUGGUUUGUUUUCUGCUUUAUUUUGGUUACUCGAUGUACGUUGAGCUCAUAGACUUUAAGGUUGGAAGGGACCAUUAUGAUCAUCUAGCCUGACCUCCUGCACAACGCAGGCCACAGAACCUCACCUGCCCACUUCUGUAACAAACCCCUAACCUAUCUCUGAGCUAUUGAAGUCCUCAACUCAUGGUUUAAAGACUUAAAGGUGGAGAGAAUCCUCCAGCAAGUAACCCGUGCCCCACGCUGCAGAGGAAGGAGAAAACCCCCCAGGUCCUUUGCCUAUCUGCCCUGGAGGAAAAUUCCUUCCCGACCCCAAAGACAGCGAUUAGCUAAAUCCUGAGCAUGUGGACAAGACUCACCAGCCAGACACCCAGGAAAGAAUUCUCUGUAGUAACUCGGAUCUAUGAUUCUAUGAUGGUUAAAAACCUUCAUCUAAUUUCAAGACUCAACUUCCUGGUGGCCAGUUUAUAUCCAUUUGUUCUUGUGUCCACAUUGGUAAUGAGCUUAAAUAAUUCCUCUCCCUCUCCGGUAUUUAUCCCUCGGAUAUAUUUAUAGAGAGCAAUCAUAUCUCCCCUCAGAUGUCUUUUGGUUAGGCUAAAUAAGCCAAGCUCUUUGAGUCUCCUUUCAUAAGACAGGUUUUCCAUUCCCCGGAUCAUCCUAGUAGCCCUUCUCUGUACCUGUUCCAGUUUGAAUUCAUCCUUCUUAAACAUGGGAGACCGGAACUGCACACAAUAUUCCAGGUGAGGUCUCACCAGUGCCUUGUAUAACGGUACUAAAACCUCCUUAUCUCUACUGGAAAUACCUCGCCUGAUGCAUCCCAAGACCACAUUAGCUUUUUUCACGGCCACAUCACAUUGGCGGCUCAUAGUCAUCCUGUGAUCAAUCAAUAGAAUCAUAGAAUAUAAGGGUUGGAAGGGACCCCAGAAGGUCAUCUAGUCCAACCCCCUGCUCGAAGCAGGACCAAAUCCCAGUUAAAUCAUCCCAGCCAGGGCUUUGUCAAGCCUGACCUUAAAAACCUCUAAGGAAGGAGAUUCUACCACCUCCCUAGGUAACGCAUUCCAGUGUUUCACCACCCUCUUAGUGAAAAAGUUUUUCCUAAUAUCCAAUCUAAACCUCCCCCCACUGCAACUUGAGACCAUUACUCCUCGUUCUGUCAUCUGCUACCAUUGAGAACAGUCUAGAGCCAUCCUCUUUGGAACCCCCUUUCAGGUAGUUGAAAGCAGCUAUCAAAUCCCCCCUCAUUCUUCUCUUCUGCAGGCUAAACAAUCCCAGCUCCCUCAGCCUCUCCUCAUAACUCAUAUGUUCCAGACCCCUAAUCAUUUUUGUUGCCCUUCGCUGGACUCUCUCCAAUUUAUCCACAUCCUUCUUGAAGUGUGGGGCCCAAAACUGGACACAGUACUCCAGAUGAGGCCUCACCAAUGUCGAAUAGAGGGGAACGAUCACGUCCCUCGAUCUGCUCGCUAUGCCCCUACUUAUACAUCCCAAAAUGCCAUUGGCCUUCUUGGCAACAAGGGCACACUGCUGACUCAUAUCCAGCUUCUCGUCCACUGUCACCCCUAGGUCCUUUUCCGCAGAACUGCUGCCUAGCCAUUCGGUCCCUAGUCUGUAGCUGUGCAUUGGGUUCUUCCGUCCUAAGUGCAGGACCCUGCACUUAUCCUUAUUGAACCUCAUCAGAUUUCUUUUGGCCCAAUCCUCCAAUUUGUCUAGGUCCUUCUGUAUCCUAUCCCUCCCCUCCAGCGUAUCUACCACUCCUCCCAGUUUAGUAUCAUCCGCAAAUUUGCUGAGAGUGCAAUCCACACCAUCCUCCAGAUCAUUUAUGAAGAUAUUGAACAAAACCGGCCCCAGGACCGACCCUUGGGGCACUCCACUUGAUACCGGCUGCCAACUAGACAUGGAGCCAUUGAUAACUACCCGUUGAGCCCGACAAUCUAGCCAGCUUUCUACCCACCUUAUAGUGCAUUCUUCCAGCCCAUACUUUCUUAACUUGCUGACAAGAAUACUGUGGGAGACCGUGUCAAAAGCUUUGCUAAAGUCAAGAAACAAUACAUCCACUGCUUUCCCUUCAUCCACAGAACCAGUAAUCUCAUCAUAAAAGGCGAUUAGAUUAGUCAGGCAUGACCUUCCCUUGGUGAAUCCAUGCUGGCUGUUCCUGAUCACUUUCCUCUCAUGCAAGUGCUUCAGGAUUGAUUCUUUGAGGACCUGCUCCAUGAUUUUUCCAGGGACUGAGGUGAGGCUGACUGGCCUGUAGUUCCCAGGAUCCUCCUUCUUCCCUUUUUUAAAGAUUGGCACUACAUUAGCCUUUUUCCAGUCAUCUGGGACUUCCCCCGUUCGCCACAAGUUUUCAAAGAUAAUGGCCAAUGGCUCUGCAAUCACAGCCGCCAAUUCCUUCAGCACUCUCGGAUGCAACUCGUCCGGCCCCAUGGACUUGUGCACAUCCAGCUUUUCUAAAUAGUCCCUAACCACCUCUUUCUCCACAGAGGGCUGGCCAUCUCUUCCCAUUUUGCGAUGCCCAGCGCAGCAGUCUGGGAGCUGACCUAUACUCCAAGGUCCUUCUCCUCCUCUGUUACUUCGAAGUGAUGCGUCCCCAGUUUAUAACAAAAAUUCUUGUUAUUAAUCCCUAAAUGCAUGACCUUGCACGUCUCACUAUUAAAUUUCAUCCUAUUACUAUUACUCCAGUUUACAAAGUCAUCCAGAUCUUCCUGUAUGAUGUCCCGGUCCCUCUCUGUAUGGCAAUACCUCCCAGCUUCAUGUCAUCCGCAAAUUUUAUUAGCACAUUCCCACUUUUUGUGCCAAGGUCAGUAAUAAAAAGAUUAAAUAAGAUUGGUCCCAAAACCAAUCCCUGAGGAAGUCCACUAGUAACCUCCUUUCAGUGUGACCCGCUGGUAGUCUCCCAUUUAACCAGUUCCUUCUCCACCUUUCAAUUUUCUUAUUGAUCCCCAUCUUUUCCAAUUUAACUAAUAAUUCCCCAUGUGGCACUGUAUCAAAUGUCUUACUGAAGUCAAGGUAAAUUAGAUCCACUGUGUUUCCUUUGUCUAAAAAAUCUGUUACCUUCUCAAAGAAGGAGAUCAGGUUGGUUUGGCAAGAUCUACCUUUUGUAAAACCAUGUUGUAUUUUGUCCCAAUUACAAUUACAUUAACCUCAAUGUCCUUAACUACUUUCUCCUUCAAAAAUUUUUCCAAGACCUUGCAUAUUACAGAUGUCAAACUAACAGGCUUUUAGUUACCCAGAUCACUUUUUUUUCCUUUCUUAAAAAUAGGAACUAUGUUAGCAAUUCUCCAGUCAUACGGUACAACCCCUGAGUUUACAGAGUCAUAAAAUAUUCUUGCUAAUGGGCUUGCAAUUUCACGUGCCAAUUCCUUUAAUAUUCUUGGAUGAAGAUUAUCUGGGCCCCCCAAUUUAGUUCCAUUAAGCUGUUUGAGUUUCGCUUCUACCUCAGAUAUGGUAAUAUCUACCUCCAUAUCCUCAUUCCCAUUUGUCAUGCUACCCUUAUCCCUAAGAUCCUCAUUAAAGACUGAGGCAAAGUAUUUGUUUAGAUAUUGGGCCAUGCCUAGAUUAUCCUUAACCUCCACUCCAUCCUCAGUGUUUAGCGGUCCCACUUCUUCUUUCUUUGUUUUCUUUUUAUUUAUAUGGCUAUAGAACCUUUUACUAUUGCUUUUAAUUACCUUGGCAAAGUCCAACUCUACAUGGCUUUUGGCCUUUCUCACUUUAUCCCUACAUGUGCUGCCCUCAAUAAGGUAGCUUUCCUUGCUGAUCCCUCCCAUCUUCCACUCCUUGUAGGCUUUCUGCUUUUUCUUAAUCACCUCUCCGAGAUGCUUGCUCAUCCAGCUUGGUCUACAACUCCUGCCUAUGAGUUUUUUCCCCUUUCUUGGGAUGCAGGCUUCCAAUAGCUUCUGCAAUCUUGACUUGAAGUAAUCCCAGGUCUCCUCUGCCUUUAGAUCCAUAAGUUCUUCAGUCCAAUCCACUUCCCUAACUAAUUUCCUUAAUUUUUGAAAGUCAGCCCUUUUGAAAUCAAAAACCCUAGUCACAGAUCUAUUUUUGUUUAUCCUUCCUAUCCAUCAGCUGUCAGAGCUGCCCCUUUAAAAACACAGGGCGGGGCUGUGGGCAGAGAGGGCCUGUCCUGAGUGCUCUAUCUGCAGCUGCAGGAUGCCUGCGGGAAGCUCCCUAAAGACGAGGAGGAACUCGAGGAGCAAGGUUCUCCUCAGACCGCAAAGCCUGACCUGUGGGAGUGUAACAUGCACCCUCGUUUCAGCCCCACAGGGCUGUUGGGACACGGUUACAUGAGCACACACUAUUUUUUUCCCUGCCUGGGUCAUCUGCAGAAUUUAACCCCAGGAUCUUUGGGUCCAGAGCACAGACCCCUCUCCCAUUUGCGCAAUAGGAAUGACUGGCAGAAGAAGCCGGCUGUUAUCCUGUAUGUGGAUCACCCCAUGGGACUGGUGGGGGGAGAUGCACUCUGCCAGGGGGAUACAUGACUAUUUGAGAGAGAGCUCUGCCAUGUUGUCUGUUGGGACUCCUGGGUUCUGUGCCUGGCUCGGGGAGAGGAGUGGUGCAGGAGAUGAGCUUUGGGUCUGUCCUGUUAGAGACCUGGGUUCUGUUCCUAGCUGCACGCAGUGACCGGUGUCCCCGCUCAGUAUCCUGUACAGUGGGCAGGGGGCGGUGGGCUGGUGUAAUGGUCCUUCGCUCUCCCGCUCGGAGGGAGGCCACUCAGGUCGGCCCUGUCUGGCCAGGACCAGCGUCUGCAAGACAGCCAAGAGCACGCAAUAGGGCUGGGCGAUGAAGAGUCGCUAUCAGGCUCUAGCCUGGGCUUGAGUAGCUCAAGUAGUCAGCCCUUAAACACAGUCUGUCAGGGCUGGCUGUGUCCUGGGCCGAGACCAGCAAACAGUCUCUAAGGUGACUGGUAAGGGACGCUCCUCUUCAGAGCUAGAGCCUCCUUGCACAGCGUAGGGGCUCAAUCACCCAAGGUGGGUUGGCAGGGGGAUGAGGGCCCACCCUACUCCAGGGCACUGGCAGGGGCAGGAUUGCCUGCCUCUGCAUCGGCGGGGAUCCAGCUGCAACACGCCAAAGGAGCCACCCUGGUUCUGCAGCCAGCUGCUCUGGGGCUUCCCCUGGGCCACUUCCUGCCUCCCCGGGGUUUGGUACCUGCGACCUCCAGUCUUUGUCAGCGUUUGAGAAUUGGGAACAGCCAGGGGACACGGGAGAACAGGCAGAGCGUCCUUCUCCUCUGCAGGCUCUCCCCCAACUGUGCUGCAGGGCCGGCCCUUUAUACCUCCAGCCAUGCCCCGGUACUUCCAGCGAGGGGGGAGAGCGAUCUAGGCUCUGCCCUCCAAGGGGCGUGUAAUGGUCCCUCGCUCUCCCUCUUGGAGGGAGGCCACUCAGUCUCCCUACAGCUGGGUUAAUACGAAGGGCUGUGAAUGGCCCAGAAGUAUUAAUAGAGGAUAUUGGAAGAGCCUAGCCUCAAACUUGUAGCCUUGCAGGCCCCCUCUAACCCGCAGUGUGUCUCCGGGACAGAGCCUCUCGCUCGGCCUCAGCCGGACUUGGUAUCAGAAGUGCAGGCGGGUGUGACCACACGGCCAAAGGCAGGAGUGUCGCGUGUGAGGCAGGGCACGGCGCAGGUCUGGGUAUACAGCUGUGAAGCCAGAAGUCAAGUCAGAAUCAGGUUUGGGUCUGUCGGAUCAGACCCUUGAACCCUGUUCUCAGGUCAGUGGGAUUUAAAUGGGGCUGCUCAGGUGAGUAAGUGUAGGCAGGAUCAACGCUAAACCUUGUAGCACACUGAUGUGCAGCCAGCCCUGCCCUCCUUCCCCCCAGGCAUCACCCCUCAGAUGUCACUUACAUGCCACUGGACUCAAGGGGAUUAGGUGAAUGUCAGAGCGCCAGGAUCUGGCCCUCACCCAUUGCUCAGACCCAGUUCUGGCUGCCCAUCGUCUGAGCUCUGCCCAUCUUGCGGCACCUAACAGUCCCUUCUCAUGAAUUGUAAGGCCAGGAGGGACCAUUAGAUCAUCUCUGAGCUCCUGUGUAGCACAGGCCAGAGAAUGUCACCCAGUGAUUCAUCUCUCGGAUCCUUCCAGUUUCUGCAGCCUGUGGAACGAGGGCGUAUCUUCUGGAACAAGCGUCCAGGCCGGAUUGGUAGCACUGUGUUCUAGUUGUAUUUGUUCACAAGCCAGAUCGGCUUACUACUCAGCGCUGGCAGAAAUCCAGGCCAUUUCCCAGACAAGCUUGGAUGCUAUCGAGAUCCCAGGUCGACUCCACCCCUUAUUAUGCAAUGAGAAUGGACAUUAAACCUAAUACGUCUCCGGAGGGGGAAGUGCUCACGAGCAUUUCCUCUGCGCGAGAUCAGCCAUAGACUCAUAGGUUUUAAGGCCAAGAGGGACAAUUAGAUCAUCUAAUCUGAUACCUGUAUUGCACAGGCCAUUACAUCCCACCCAGUUACCCCUCUGUGGAGCCCACUAACUUGUUUGGCUGAAGCAGCUUCCAGAAAGGUGGCCAGUGUGGAUUUGAAGACAUCAAGAGAUUGAGAAUCCGCCACUUCCCUUGGUAGCUUGUUCCCAUGGUUAAUCAUAAGAAACAGUUUUAUUUUAAAUCCAGAAAACUUCUUGACUUCAUCAAAAUCAAGGGUUUGAGGCACCAGGACUGACUCGCUAAUGAUUUUCUUCUGUGCUCCGGUUUAGCAUCUAAAAUGUCGUUGUUGUUAGUACCAAUCCGGUAUUACGAUCGCUGGGUAAUUCUCUGGUCGUGCCUAUCUACGACAACCUCAAGUCAUUGUUCACUAAGGAAGAGCUGAGAGUUUUAUCAGGGAAAACGUCCAUUGUAAACGAAGUUGGUCUCUCGAAAAUUUUCACCUAUGGAGUUGGGUGGACAGGAGCAGAAUGGUACUACAUUAUGGUGACAAGAGAGGAGGAUGAGUGGGUGGCUGUGUGUCAAACUCCUCUGCAUUGCACCUGGAUUGUGGAUGACAACAAAAUCUACCGGGAAGAUAACCCGUCGAUACGCAAACUAUUUGGUUCUGUACCUGAUCAUUUGAGCUACAUCAUUAAAGUUACCAACAAAACUGAAGAAGUCAUCAAUGUUGUGGUUCAUGAACGUCUGCUGGCCCAAGUGCUGACUGGAGGAAUUGGAAGAAUUGGAAGUUAUGUGAGAGACAAGUACUUCAACCUAGGGGUUGCAGUUGAUAAAAAAAAAAAACAAAAACUAUUCAUAAAGUGAACCCCAAGAAUUUAUUCUCCUACAAAUCCCUCAGUAAUGUAGUAGGCAUGGUAAAUGUGUCAACCUAUUCUAUAAAGGUGAAAAAGGGUAAACAGAUCGCUGAGUGUAACACCCCUUUGCAUUGCACCUGGAUCGUGGAGAGCCAUGGAAUGUGGCAAGAAAAUAAACCUACAGAAGUUUACAAAUUUCAAUAACAUGCUUUUCUCCUCCUUGAUAUUAUUAUAAGGAAGCAGCAGAAGACGACCCCAGUGAAUAUGCCUUAUAAAUCCAUGGGGUUUCGCCAGUAUUUGCUUUAGGAGCCAGCACAAUAGUUGUGUGUGUCCUGGUGACUAAAUAUGUGAACUAAUGAUUUGCAACAAAUAAUUUAUCUGACAAAUCUUUUCACUCUUGUUGAAUAAAUCACUUGCAAAUAAUUUUUCUUACUAUUUAGCCAGUUCCACCAAGGCAAAUAACAGCAAAAUAAUAAGUCAGCAGAAUGUAUUCACCACUUCUUUGUGACAAUCGAAUAAACUAUGAAUACAUUUUU